GUUUCCUGUUCAACAUGUGUUUGGAGAGGCCAAUUCAGCAGCGAAUUCUGCCUCAAGAUUCCUUUGGAGUUCGUUCAUAUAGUGCAGCUGGAUGCGAUGGAUGAUGUCAUCUUAGCGAGCAUUGACAUUCUUCUUAGUUCAGUUUUGUUGUUCUGAUUCUCUUUGGUUUUGUUGUUCUUAUUCUUUUUUGGUUUUUCCCGUCUUUGUUCUCUGCAGAUUCUGCUGUAACUGUACUCUCCAUUACUC
This 246-nucleotide long non-coding RNA is filed under the name Elaeis guineensis (African oil palm). Its description in RNAcentral is "long non-coding RNA (EGUI_LNC006366)". The record is from RNAcentral. Lineage: Eukaryota; Viridiplantae; Streptophyta; Magnoliopsida; Arecales; Arecaceae.